GGGGAGGGGGGAAUUUAACCCCGUACAUAGAUUUACAGUCUACCGCCUUAAACUCGGCCACCUAACC
Molecule: transfer RNA, 67 nt
Filed under: Furcifer balteatus
Lineage: Eukaryota; Metazoa; Chordata; Lepidosauria; Squamata; Chamaeleonidae
Description: tRNA-Tyr
Source: RNAcentral